This is a long non-coding RNA of Nematostella vectensis (starlet sea anemone), 507 nucleotides long. RefSeq lists it as uncharacterized. Lineage: Eukaryota; Metazoa; Cnidaria; Anthozoa; Actiniaria; Edwardsiidae. The transcript has 3 exons. The record is from RefSeq and is a predicted model, not a curated record.
CCCGGAAAAACCGGGUGCCGAGAGAGGUCUGGGGCGUUGAUUCCGCAGUAUAGAAACCAGCAGUCUUACCCAACUUUCUCGGCGCCGCCAUCUUGAAUCCCCGGCAGACAAAAACCAACUAAAAAUGAUUUUCCCUGCGCUUCGAGCCGUCCGAGUCCGAGGGCCAGCGUUGGUUAGACACAUGGCUACCCCAACUGCAGAGGAGCUUGGGUUAAAGGGAUGGGAAGUGUAUUUUAACGCUUGGACCACUGCUGGGAGAAGAAAUAUUGUCGUGGCCACUUAUGGAAUUUUGUUUGGAGGAUACUUUUUGUACAAAUCAAGGAAAGCCAAACCAGCUUCCCCAGCUCAAUAAACAUGUAUCAUUCAUCAUUUGUUUGAUCUUGUGUUUGCAUAACUUGUUUUAUUACUAGGGUUCUACUCGGUAAUUUGCGAAGAUUUGUGUGACUGGCUACAGAUUUUGUCUGUCAAGAGUUUGUAAAAAUGGUUUAAUAAAUACAACUAAACUUA